AGACACAUAGUUUUGACAAGAUCGGAGAGUCAACUGAAGUGGCACUCCGAGUUCUCGCGGAGAAAAUUGGUUUGCCUGGCUUUGAUGAUAUGCCCAGAGCAUUGACGUACUUGAGCUUGGAAGAACGUGCGAGCCACUGUGCAACUUACUGGCGAGGGCAGUUUGAGCGAGUAUCUACCCUAGAGUUUGACCGAGAUCGCAAGAUGAUGAGUGUAAUCGGAAAGCGAAAGGGGCAGAGCAUUCUGUUUACAAAAGGAAGCCCAGAGGCAGUUUUGCUUCGAUGCACACGGGUACUCACCAAUUCAAAGGGCAUCGCGGAGCCAAUUUCGACACAAGUUCGAGAUGCAUUGACUGAAAAAUAUAGAACAUAUGCCCGCAGAUCCUUGAGGGUGCUGGCACUCGCAAUGCGUCCAAUAUCUUCAGACCAGUGUCAUAUAUCACCUUCAG
This 447-nucleotide long non-coding RNA is filed under the name Micromonas commoda. RNAcentral's name for it is "long non-coding RNA (MCOM_LNC000089)". The record is from RNAcentral. Lineage: Eukaryota; Viridiplantae; Chlorophyta; Mamiellophyceae; Mamiellales; Mamiellaceae.